AUGAGCCUCCUGGUGGAGGAGAGUGCUCCUGCCUCUCCUGCCUCUCUUUAUGGAUUGUAUGUCAAGGAGACACCCGCAAGGACUCUGGUGGCCUGGACAUACUUCUGGAAGACUGACUCUUCCAGACUGAUGAAACCAAAGGACUGGACAGUGUUGAAUCCUUGGGGGGAAGAAAAACCAACACUUUUUUUUUAAGCUGACAGCACAUUCCAUCCACUCGGCAAUGUAGAACUAAUGAAGAUAUAAGUGUAAGAAAACCUAUAAUUGAAUCCAGCACGUAGCAAGCAUAGUUG
Molecule: long non-coding RNA, 293 nt
Filed under: Homo sapiens (human)
Lineage: Eukaryota; Metazoa; Chordata; Mammalia; Primates; Hominidae
Description: HSALNT0097983
Source: RNAcentral